This 328-nucleotide long non-coding RNA is filed under the name Theobroma cacao (cacao). RNAcentral's name for it is "long non-coding RNA (TCAC_LNC002336)". The record is from RNAcentral. Lineage: Eukaryota; Viridiplantae; Streptophyta; Magnoliopsida; Malvales; Malvaceae.
UGAAGUUUGGUCAAAGCUUCCAAAGGAAGCUUUGACUCUGAUUUUUUCAGCCCAAAAUCGUUCUUAUCUCCUCCAACAAGAUUUUUUCCUCUUCUCCUCCAUGCUCCACACCAUUCUUGAAGCUUUCAUGCCAUUUUCUCUUUAUCCACCAUGAAACCAAGUUUUCUUCAUUUUCCUUUCCAUGUUUUCUUUUCCUUUCUUCUCCAAACUUCUUGAGCACUAAAUUUACAGCCUUUAACCCCAAUUUCCAGCACAUCUAAACCCUAGGAGGAGAAGAAAGAAAAAGAGAGAAAGGAAGAAAAAAAAAAGCUUGUUUUGGUGAUUCAAG